Molecule: ribosomal RNA, 732 nt
Filed under: Savarna kaeo
Lineage: Eukaryota; Metazoa; Arthropoda; Arachnida; Araneae; Pholcidae
Description: partial 28S ribosomal RNA
Rfam family: Eukaryotic large subunit ribosomal RNA (bases 441-732)
Source: RNAcentral
AACUGCUCAGAGGCAAACGGGUGGGCCCUCGAAAUCCGAUCGGGGGGGGAUUCAGUCGGCGGUGGCGAAGUGCGUCGAGCCAGGUCGAGUACCCAACUCAGCUUGGACUCCCGGCUCCGCCGAUGUGCGCCCCGCCGACGCAGUUCCCUCCCCGCCACGGACGCCGCAGCCGGUCGGGAGUCCGCCAUGAGGACGUGCGACGGCAGGUGGCGGGAGGCCGGGUCCGCCCCGCGUCCUCCCGUCGUUAGCCAGCUUGCGUUCCGGUGCGGGACGCCCGACCGAGGCGACGAUGGAACCUCCGGGUUCCGGCCGAGUCCUCGUCUUGAUCGAGCGGGUCGCGAGCUCCAGGGAAUGCCGCGGUACGAGCGGAGCCACCUCGUCCGAGGUGGCCGGCUCCCGCGAUCCGCUUCCCGUUCGGGGCCUGAACCCGCGGUCGACGCUCAACUCAGGCUGGCGGCGAGUAGGUCGGUCACCCACCCGACCCGUCUUGAAACACGGACCAAGGAGUCUAACAUGUGCGCGAGUCGCAGGGUCUUGAACAGGCCCCCGGGCGCAAUGAAAGUGAAGGCGGAGAUUGGCUCCCGCCCCUGGUUGGGAUCCCGACCCCUCGGGGGUAUCGGGCGCACCAACGGCCCGUCCCGUCCGGCUCGUCCGGUGGGCCGGAGCCAGAGCGCACACGUUGGGACCCGAAAGAUGGUGAACUAUGCCUGGGCAGGACGAAGUCAGAGGAAA